GGGAUUGCCCUAGUAACGGCGAGUGAAGCGGCAACAGCUCAAAUUUGAAAUCUGGCGUCUUCGACGUCCGAGUUGUAAUUUGCAGAGGGCGCUUUGGCAUUGGCAGCGGUCCAAGUUCCUUGGAACAGGACGUCACAGAGGGUGAGAAUCCCGUACGUGGUCGCUAGCCUUUACCGUGUAAAGCCCCUUCGACGAGUCGAGUUGUUUGGGAAUGCAGCUCUAAAUGGGAGGUAAAUUUCUUCUAAAGCUAAAUACUGGCCAGAGACCGAUAGCGCACAAGUAGAGUGAUCGAAAGAUGAAAAGCACUUUGGAAAGAGAGUUAAAAAGCACGUGAAAUUGUUGAAAGGGAAGCGCUUGCAGCCAGACUUGCCUGUAGUUGCUCAUCCGGGUUUCUACCCGGUGCACUCUUCUAUAGGCAGGCCAGCAUCAGUUUGGGCGGUUGGAUAAAGGUCUCUGUCAUGUACCUCUCUUCGGGGAGAACUUAUAGGGGAGACGACAUGCAACCAGCCUGGACUGAGGUCCGCGCAUCUGCUAGGAUGCUGGCGUAAUGGCUGUAAGCGGCCCGUCUUGAAACACGGACCAAGGAGUCUAACAUCUAUGCGAGUGUUUGGGUGUCAAGCCCGAGCGCGUAAUGAAAGUGAACGGAGGUGGGAACCUUUCGGGGUGCACCAUCGACCGAUCCUGAUGUCUUCGGAUGGAUUUGAGUAAGAGCAUAGCUGUUGGGACCCGAAAGAUGGUGAACUAUGCUUGAAUAGGGUGAAGCCAGAGGAAACUCUGGUGGAGGCUCGCAGCGGUUCUGACGUGCAAAUCGAUCGUCAAAUUUGGGCAUAGGGGCGAAAGACUAAU
RNAcentral lists this ribosomal RNA (846 nucleotides) under Didymella sp. RNAcentral describes it as "partial large subunit ribosomal RNA". It matches the Rfam family "Eukaryotic large subunit ribosomal RNA", at positions 71 to 935 of the family's 3401-position model. The record is from RNAcentral. Lineage: Eukaryota; Fungi; Ascomycota; Dothideomycetes; Pleosporales; Didymellaceae.